Molecule: long non-coding RNA, 339 nt
Organism: Calidris pugnax (ruff)
Lineage: Eukaryota; Metazoa; Chordata; Aves; Charadriiformes; Scolopacidae
Exons: 3
Source: RefSeq, a predicted model, not a curated record
AAAAAAGAAAAGAAAGAAAGAAAAGGCCAAGUCUGGAAAUCAAGUGGCAGCAGCGAAGCAGCGCGUUCCCCCUCUGCCUUGGGAAGAAUUUCUUGGCUGGGUGUGUGGGUGCCUGUUAUUCGGGCUGUGGCAGAGGAUUUGGACACCGAGUCAGACCCGGCACUAAUGAGGAGGAAGAGGAUGGACGUCCUGCCACGGGUGUGCGCCAGGCUGCUCCUCCUGUCCCUGCUCUGUGCCACCAGCCUCUGCCAAAGGAGCAAAAAUAACCGCUGCGUGCUGUCCCGGGCAAAGAGCUGCACCGAGUGCAUCCGAGUAGACAAGGACUGCUCCUUCUGCACC